AGAGUUUGAUCCUGGCUCAGAUUGAACGCUGGCGGCAGGCCUAACACAUGCAAGUCGAGCGGUAGAGAGAAGCUUGCUUCUCUUGAGAGCGGCGGACGGGUGAGUAAUGCCUAGGAAUCUGCCUGGUAGUGGGGGAUAACGUUCGGAAACGGACGCUAAUACCGCAUACGUCCUACGGGAGAAAGCAGGGGACCUUCGGGCCUUGCGCUAUCAGAUGAGCCUAGGUCGGAUUAGCUAGUUGGUGAGGUAAUGGCUCACCAAGGCGACGAUCCGUAACUGGUCUGAGAGGAUGAUCAGUCACACUGGAACUGAGACACGGUCCAGACUCCUACGGGAGGCAGCAGUGGGGAAUAUUGGACAAUGGGCGAAAGCCUGAUCCAGCCAUGCCGCGUGUGUGAAGAAGGUCUUCGGAUUGUAAAGCACUUUAAGUUGGGAGGAAGGGCAGUUACCUAAUACGUGAUUGUUUUGACGUUACCGACAGAAUAAGCACCGGCUAACUCUGUGCCAGCAGCCGCGGUAAUACAGAGGGUGCAAGCGUUAAUCGGAAUUACUGGGCGUAAAGCGCGCGUAGGUGGUUAGUUAAGUUGGAUGUGAAAUCCCCGGGCUCAACCUGGGAACUGCAUUCAAAACUGACUGACUAGAGUAUGGUAGAGGGUGGUGGAAUUUCCUGUGUAGCGGUGAAAUGCGUAGAUAUAGGAAGGAACACCAGUGGCGAAGGCGACCACCUGGACUGAUACUGACACUGAGGUGCGAAAGCAUGGGGAGCAAACAGGAUUAGAUACCCUGGUAGUCCACGCCGUAAACGAUGUCAACUAGCCGUUGGGAGCCUUGAGCUCUUAGUGGCGCAGCUAACGCAUUAAGUUGACCGCCUGGGGAGUACGGCCGCAAGGUUAAAACUCAAAUGAAUUGACGGGGGCCCGCACAAGCGGUGGAGCAUGUGGUUUAAUUCGAAGCAACGCGAAGAACCUUACCAGGCCUUGACAUCCAAUGAACUUUCUAGAGAUAGAUUGGUGCCUUCGGGAACAUUGAGACAGGUGCUGCAUGGCUGUCGUCAGCUCGUGUCGUGAGAUGUUGGGUUAAGUCCCGUAACGAGCGCAACCCUUGUCCUUAGUUACCAGCACGUUAUGGUGGGCACUCUAAGGAGACUGCCGGUGACAAACCGGAGGAAGGUGGGGAUGACGUCAAGUCAUCAUGGCCCUUACGGCCUGGGCUACACACGUGCUACAAUGGUCGGUACAGAGGGUUGCCAAGCCGCGAGGUGGAGCUAAUCCCACAAAACCGAUCGUAGUCCGGAUCGCAGUCUGCAACUCGACUGCGUGAAGUCGGAAUCGCUAGUAAUCGCGAAUCAGAAUGUCGCGGUGAAUACGUUCCCGGGCCUUGUACACACCGCCCGUCACACCAUGGGAGUGGGUUGCACCAGAAGUAGCUAGUCUAACCUUCGGGGGGACGGUUACCACGGUGUGAUUCAUGACUGGGGUGAAGUCGUAACAAGGUAGCCGUAGGGGAACCUGCGGCUG
This 1517-nucleotide ribosomal RNA is filed under the name Pseudomonas sp. RNAcentral's name for it is "bacterial SSU rRNA". It matches the Rfam family "Bacterial small subunit ribosomal RNA". Lineage: Bacteria; Pseudomonadati; Pseudomonadota; Gammaproteobacteria; Pseudomonadales; Pseudomonadaceae. The record is from RNAcentral.